CACCACAUCAAAUGUGUCUUGUGGAAUCCAUUUUCAAUCAGUAGAGAAAGUGACUGCUAGGUUGCUCUGUUGCCCAAGCCUCAUCCUUCCCAUACAUGCUUCUCUUCUACUGGUGUUCUGGGCCUACAUCACCCACAGGGUCAGUCUUUUGUUUCUUUGCCAGUGAGAAGCACUUUGAGAGAUGGGAGCAGUAGGGAACUCUCCUCUUUUCUUUCCUUGGAUGUCUCACCAUGGAAACAAGUUCUUAAAAACAUCUCAUUUUAUGAUAUAAGAUGAGCACCAUGAAGCAGAAGGAUCUUGGAUUGAAUUCUGGAUCUAUGUCUUCCUAAUAGCAGAACCUUAGAUUAAAUUCUGUCUCACCUGCAAGAAUUAGAGUGAGGAACGCUUUGAAAAUCCGUGUAAGACACUUACCUCAGGACUAAAUCAAUGAGGGGAAGGAAUGGAAAUGCCAAGGUGCUACGUUAGUGGAACCGUUCUGCGACACACUUGUGCUCUCCACACCUGAAAGUGCUUUAAGGAGCACAGGACAAAAUACCUUCUUCUCAUUUCCUUGUGGCAACAAAAAAUAUCCUUUCCUUUAUUUGGGACGAAUUCUUAGACAUGAAAAUACUGCAUAGACUCACUUCUGAAAAAGCUGAAGAUUAGGGAAAAUACCACAAGUAUGGAAUUUGGGACACCACAGACAUACAGGCACUUCUUUUAUGAGCUAAGAUAUAAAGGUUACCUACCAGUCUGCUGUUUUCUGCGUGUUUUUAGUCCAAACAUCUAAGCCUUAUCCAAGAUUUUCAGUAAGUCUAGGAAAAUGCACAUUUCCCCUCAUAGAAGAUAUUAAAAAAUGAGAAAAUUUUUCUUUAACUUCUGAGAACUGUCUCUUCAAAAACAAAUAAGAAAACUAAAGAGUAAGCCAAAAUAUAAGCAUAGGUGUGGAAACAAGACUCUUAGGUUUUUUAUAAUGCAAUUCAAUUUUACUAAUUUCCUUUCCUUUCUCCUAUAGCAAGAUACUAUGAGAUAAUAGUACAGGGGACUGAAUUGUUAGUGGGCAGUGAGUGAUAGUCAUUAUUUCAAAGGUGGUCACUGCUGCUAACGUUUUCUCAUUCCUAUUUAUUAUUGUAUUUAAACAAUAAACAGAAUUCAAUGGUAAAUAAAGUCUCAAGAUAAUUA
Molecule: long non-coding RNA, 1161 nt
Organism: Peromyscus leucopus (white-footed mouse)
Lineage: Eukaryota; Metazoa; Chordata; Mammalia; Rodentia; Cricetidae
Exons: 3
Source: RefSeq, a predicted model, not a curated record